UUUACAUAUGGAAAAUUUUCCAUAUGCAAAAUAUUUCUAAUCUCCAUGGAUUCUCCAUUUUAUCAAUAUUUAGUUAUUCUGUUCCUGUCAUAGAUCAGGUGAGUAAAUCUCUGAAUGGAUUGAUACUGAAAUCCAGGGAAAGAGACCAUAGUUAUAUAUGUGCAUUGUAUUGUGACAGUUAUGUAUCUCUGUUAGUAUUAAGCUAUUCAGGAAAUCCUUGGCUUGCCUAGAUCCAAUAUAUGUACAUCCAUAUUUACAUAGGAUUAUUUUUAGGUAACUAGCUAUGUUUGAACCCAGAUCCAAUCAGAAAAACUGCAGAUGUGAAUUUUGAUUUGAAUCCAUAUUCUCUAAGAUGGUAAGCAACUGCUUUAUCGUGUGACUUAUGUGCUUAUUCUUUAAUA
Molecule: long non-coding RNA, 401 nt
Filed under: Androctonus crassicauda
Lineage: Eukaryota; Metazoa; Arthropoda; Arachnida; Scorpiones; Buthidae
Source: RNAcentral